This 197-nucleotide unclassified non-coding RNA is filed under the name uncultured fungus. RNAcentral's name for it is "sequence contains ITS1, 5.8S rRNA gene". The record is from RNAcentral. Lineage: Eukaryota; Fungi.
AAGAGUUAGGGUCCUUUGGGCCCGACCUCCCAACCCUUUGUUUACUGAACCUCUGUUGCUUCGGCGGACCCGCCUCACGGCCGCCGGAGGAUCGCCCCCCGGCGUCCUCUGGCCAGCGUCCGCCGAUAGCCAACCCUUCAAACUCCUGAAUAAAUCAUGUUAUAUGUCUAAGUCUUAUGAUUCAAAUCAAUAAAGCA